This 328-nucleotide ribosomal RNA is filed under the name uncultured eukaryote. RNAcentral describes it as "partial 18S ribosomal RNA". It matches the Rfam family "Eukaryotic small subunit ribosomal RNA", at positions 1470 to 1796 of the family's 1831-position model. The record is from RNAcentral.
CCCUUAGAUGUCCUGGGCCGCACGCGCGCUACACUGAUGCAUGCAACGAGUUUAUAACCUUGGCCUGAAAGGUCUGGGUAAUCUUUUGAACGUGCAUCGUGAUAGGGAUAGAUUAUUGCAAUUGUUGAUCUUGAACGAGGAAUUCCUAGUAAACGCGAGUCAUCAGCUCGCAUUGAUUACGUCCCUGCCCUUUGUACACACCGCCCGUCGCACCUACCGAUUGAAUGGUUCGGUGAAGAUCUCGGACUUCGAUAUUUAUUCUUUAUUGAGUUUAUAUUGUGGGAAGUUAUCUAAACCUCAUCAUUUAGAGGAAGGUGAAGUCGUAACA